Long non-coding RNA from Momordica charantia (bitter melon), 1102 nucleotides. RefSeq lists it as uncharacterized. The record is from RefSeq and is a predicted model, not a curated record. Lineage: Eukaryota; Viridiplantae; Streptophyta; Magnoliopsida; Cucurbitales; Cucurbitaceae.
CCCUUCGAUAAUUCCCACUUCCCUAUAAAGCUCUCUUAGUCGUGGCGCUGCAUAAAGUAUAACGCUCUGCUCUAAUUUCAUCUUCAUCUUCAUCUUCAUCGUCUCUUUUUUCUCUCUUCUAAAACUUGGGAGAAGAAAGCAACAUUAUUUUUUAAGCCAACCAGCAGAAGGGCUUCUCUCAUUUGGCAGGCAAAUGACGAUAAUGCAACUUCACCCAUCACUCCUGUCCUGCCAAAGGAGAGUUGCCCUCCAUCUGGUUUUGGCUUACUUCUUUCUACUGCAUGCGCUAAUUUAACCAUAACUUUUAACCUUCUUCUUCUUUGCAGUCUCCUAUCUCCAUUGAUGCUACUCUACUUUUUAGUAAAGGAUGAGAAGUUUGAAAUUAUUCCAUUUAUAUUAGCCCCUUCUGGACCUCUCUAAUUUCAUGGAUUGUUAUGCAACUGCAAAGUUGGAGUUCUCUUAGCAUCUUGAGUGGUAACAGGGAGUUGUAGAUAAAAUUCUUCCCACACGACCGAAAGAGGACCCUUGACUAUCUAACACCCAAAAACCCCAAAAUUAAUUUAGCAUAAUCUUGAGAGAAAGAUUAAAGGAUGGAUUACCUUGUUGAUCGAAUACCAAGAGGUGAGGAAAACUAAUUUCCUAUUCAAAGUUGAACACUUCAGAAGAAGGUUGAUCAAACCUAACUUCAAUGCUACAAACUUGCAAUUGCAACAUGAACCAAGAAUUGCAAACAAGAUGAGGGUGUCUGUCGUACCACUAUUUCUCAAUUCUUCUGACGCUGUUGUCUGAGGACCUUGAGGUACAUGCCUUAACAUCUAUGAAAGAGUGAUUCGACCGACCAUGUACCUUAAGGUCCUCGACAUUGGAAAUAAUAUUAUAAUUAUCACUUCACCUCACCCUACAAUAUAAUAGUACUACUCUUUGAUGUUUAAAGCGAAAUGUAUCUCUCAGGAACUGAUUUCUAAGGGCGAGAGGUUUUUGGCAAUUGGUUCCAUCCCUUUCCCGAAUUAAGGAUGAUAGUACUUAAUUGAGUUUAGUUAUUACUCGGAAGUAUUUACUAACUACAAAUGUGGGUAUAAAGAUUUUGAAUUUUUUACUUUGA